UAUGUCACAAAAAAUAGCUUUCAAAAACUAAAAUGACCAAAAUAACAUUUUAUCUUUUGAAAUCUUAUCCCAAAAAUCCACUCCCCAACCCUAAAACCUAAACUCUAAACCCUAAAUCCUAAGCCCUAAACCCCACCACUUAACUCUAAAACCUAAACUCCAUCCCUAAACUCUAAACCCUAAACCCUAAACUCUAAACACUAAACCCUAAAUCCUAAACUCCACCCGUUAACUCUAAACCCUAAUGUCUAAAUUAAUUUACCAUUGGAGUAUAAGUGUAUAUUUAUCUCUUUUGAUAAAACAUUAAAUGC
Molecule: long non-coding RNA, 311 nt
Filed under: Brassica napus (rape)
Lineage: Eukaryota; Viridiplantae; Streptophyta; Magnoliopsida; Brassicales; Brassicaceae
Description: long non-coding RNA (BNAP_LNC010539)
Source: RNAcentral